RNAcentral lists this long non-coding RNA (1526 nucleotides) under Homo sapiens (human). Its description in RNAcentral is "HSALNT0406039". Lineage: Eukaryota; Metazoa; Chordata; Mammalia; Primates; Hominidae. The record is from RNAcentral.
ACAGUCCCCCAGCGCCGGACGCGCCGCGCCCUGGCGGCUCUAGGGACCCCCCCCGCGCCUGCACUUAGCCCCGCGCCCGAGUCCACAGACAAACGAAUUUAAAGGAGCAACCGAGGAGGCACCUGCGAAAGAAAGCCCACACACAGGUGAAUUUAAAGGAGCAGCCCUGGUGUCACCUAUCAGUAAAAGACUAUUUGGAGUUUUCCUCGUCUUACUGGAUGUCACUCUCGUCCUUGCCGACCUAAUUUUCACUGACAGCAAACUUUAUAUUCCUUUGGAGUAUCGUUCUAUUUCUCUAGCUAUUGCCUUAUUUUUUCUCAUGGAUGUUCUUCUUCGAGUAUUUGUAGAAGGAGACUGUACUGGUCAGAGAAAGACAUCAGCAGGAGAGCCAGAGAUUCCUCCUCCUCUCCAUCAUCACCAUCACCAUUAUUCUCAUCACCAUCACCGUCACCGUCAUCAUCAUCAUCACCAUCAUGGACUUCAAAGAAGUUCAAAGAAUUUCCUCCUCUGGCCAGAGUGAAUCCUGUUCUGUGGAAGCAGGAGGCUGGGUGGGAAGCCCUGUGGAGGCUCCACCCGUGUUUGGGUUCUGGGCAGGGAUCUGGGGACAGGGGAGGCCUAAUGCUUAUUGCAGAAAUUCUCUGCCUGGGAAGUCAGGAUCACUCCUUGGAGGAGGCAGCCUGUCCUCUGAGCUUUCAGGAAAGGAACUGGUUGUGUGGUUCCCUGUAAGCUCUGGAGAUGGGGCGGGCAGUAGGGGGAGGAGCACAGCAGUGUGGAUGUAUUAAUACUUAGUGCUGGCCGGGUGCGGUGGCUUACGCCUGUAAUUCCAGCAGUUUAGGAGGCCAAGGCAGGCAGAUCACCUGAGGUCAGGAGUUCAACACCAGCUGAGGCAGGAGAAUCGCUUGAACCCAGGAAGCAGAGGUUGCAGUGAGCCAAGAUCACGACAUUGCACUCCAGCCCUCCAGCCCAGGCAACAAGAGUGAAACUCCGUUCCCCCCCGCAAAAAAAAAAACUUAGUGCCACAGAACCUACGCUUAAAACCAGCUAAAAUGACAAAUCUUAUAUGAUAGGUAUUUUACCGCAAUUUUAAAAAUUAUUUCCUGGCCAGGUAUGGUGGCUCACAUGUAUAAUCCCAGCCCUUUGGUGGCCAUGGUGGGAGGAUCCCCUGAGGCUAGGAGCUUGAGACCCGCCUGGGGAACAUAGUGAGACCCCGUCUCAACAAAAAUUUUUUAAAAAUUAGCCAGGUGUGGGCCGGGCACAGUGGCUCACGCCUGUAAUCCUAGCACUUUGGGAGGCCGAGGUGGGCGGAUCACGAGGUCAGGAGAUCGAGACCAUCCUGGCUAACACGGGGAAACCCCGUCUCUACUAAAAAUACAAAAAAUUAGCCGGGCAUGGUGGCGGGCGCCCGUAAUCCCAGCUACUCGGGAGGCUGAGGCAGGAGAAUGGCGCGGAUCACAAGGUCAGGAGAUCAAGACCAUCCUGGCUAACGCGGUGAAACCCCGUCUCUACUAAAAAUACAAAAAAUUAGC